GUGGGGAAUCUUGCACAAUGGGGGAAACCCUGAUGCAGCGACGCCGCGUGAGCGAUGAAGCCUUUCGGGGUGUAAAGCUCUUACGCCAGGGACGAUAGUGACGGUACCUGGAGAAGCAGCUGCGGCUAACUACGUGCCAGCAGCCGCGGUAAUACGUAGGCAGCAAGCGUUGUUCGGAAUUACUGGGCGUAAAGGGUGCGUAGGCGGUGCUCUAAGUUUGGUGUGAAAUCUCCCGGCUUAACUGGGAGGGUGCGCCGAAAACUGGAGUGCUUGAGUGUGGGAGAGGAAAGCGGAAUUCCUGGUGUAGCGGUGAAAUGCGUAGAGAUCAGGAGGAACACCUGCGGUGUAGACGGCUUUCUGGACCAUAACUGACGCUGAGGCACGAAAGCGUGGGUAGCAAACAGGAUUAGAUACCCCAGUAGUCC
Molecule: ribosomal RNA, 425 nt
Filed under: uncultured bacterium
Lineage: Bacteria
Description: bacterial SSU rRNA
Rfam family: Bacterial small subunit ribosomal RNA
Source: RNAcentral